Molecule: ribosomal RNA, 253 nt
Filed under: uncultured bacterium
Lineage: Bacteria
Description: partial 16S ribosomal RNA
Rfam family: Bacterial small subunit ribosomal RNA
Source: RNAcentral
UACGGAGGGUGCAAACGUUGCUCGGAAUUAUUGGGCGUAAAGCGCACGUAGGCGGAUUGUUAAGUCGGAUGUGAAAUCCCUCAGCUUAACUGAGGAAGUGCACUCGAAACUGGCAGUCUUGAGUAUGGAAGAGGGUCGCGGAAUUCCCGGUGUAGAGGUGAAAUUCGUAGAUAUCGGGAGGAACACCAGUGGCGAAGGCGGCCUCCUGGUUCAAUACUGACGCUGAGGUGCGAAAGCGUGGGGAGCAAACAGG